UGGAGAUAAACAGAUCUCCCAGGUCCUCAUGUGCUGAUGUAAGCUCCAUCACCGCUAGGAUUUUGUGUCAACAAUUAUUAACUAACAAAUCAGUUGAUAGAAACAUUUGCAUCUAUGCCUCCUCAUCAUCUGCUUGACCUAUCUAGAACAAGAAUCUUGCAGCAUCCAUGAACUCAUCGUCUCCCCAAUUUUUCCAGACAAGAAGCGCACCUUGUGAGACUCCCAGAAAGGAAUAUCGGCUGCAACGAUGAUAGCAAUUUCAUCAGUCAUUAUUUCCACCAUAUCUCCAUCCCACUGAAUUGACAACUGAUGCAUUGUUGAUGGAAUACAACAGUUUGCAUGAAUCCAGUCUCAACCCAGAAGAAGAUUGUACGAACCUUUGCCAUCGAUGACAAAAAACAUAGUAAGUUGGGUUUUGCUACCAAUUAUCAAUUCGAUGUUCAAAAUUCCUUUAGCUUAUGAUCUCUUCCCCUCAAAGUCUUUUAGGACCAUGUUAGUUUUGAUUACAUCUUUAGGAGUCUUGCCAAAAGCUUGCAAUAAGUAGCGUAUGGCAUGAUAUUGACUGUACCACCACCAUCAACCAACAUCUUAGCUAUCGGCCGGCCAUCAACAUGCCCCUUCAUGUAUAAGGGCUUUUAAGUGUCGAUGUUUUUCCACCUCUAGCUUCUCAAAUACAACUUGCUAGGUCGGUAGGACCAAUUGGGCAACAUCUUCUUCAUCGCUACAAUAAAUUCCAAGUUCAGCAGACAAAAUAGAAACCAUAUUAAUUUCAGCCGAUACCUCUUUGCCUUUGUCUGAUUGCUUGAUGUGCUACUCCUGGUUCUGCUCCUUGUAGCGCAAAUGUUGAA
RNAcentral lists this long non-coding RNA (848 nucleotides) under Setaria viridis. Its description in RNAcentral is "long non-coding RNA (SVIR_LNC005566)". The record is from RNAcentral. Lineage: Eukaryota; Viridiplantae; Streptophyta; Magnoliopsida; Poales; Poaceae.